Molecule: transfer RNA, 75 nt
Filed under: Oscillochloris sp.
Lineage: Bacteria; Bacillati; Chloroflexota; Chloroflexia; Chloroflexales; Oscillochloridaceae
Description: tRNA-Glu
Rfam family: tRNA
About the family: Transfer RNA (tRNA) molecules are approximately 80 nucleotides in length.
Source: RNAcentral
GGGGCGUUCAUCUAUGGGUUAGGAAUUCCGCCUUUCAAGCGGGAAGAGCGAGUUCGAGUCUCGCACGCCCUACCA